ACUUGACCUCAAAUCGAGUAGGAUUACCCGCUGAACU
Molecule: ribosomal RNA, 37 nt
Filed under: Sebacinaceae sp. D (JLP 2319)
Lineage: Eukaryota; Fungi; Basidiomycota; Agaricomycetes; Sebacinales; Sebacinaceae
Description: partial 28S ribosomal RNA
Source: RNAcentral